GCUGGGCAUGGUGCUGCACGCCUGUAAUCUCAGCAGCUUGGAAGGCUGAGGCAGGAGGAUCAUGUGUUCAAAGCCAGCCUCAGCAAAAGCGAGGCACCAACAACUCAGUGUGACUCUGCCUCUA
This 124-nucleotide small RNA is filed under the name Marmota monax (woodchuck). The record is from RNAcentral. Lineage: Eukaryota; Metazoa; Chordata; Mammalia; Rodentia; Sciuridae.